AUGUGUCAGCUGUCAAGCUCACAGUCUGAACAGCACGUGCCUCCUGAAGUUCUUGCUGAACGCUCUGAUGUUACACAGCCAGAAAGUGUGUUAAGAAAAGCAAAGGUGUAAUCUGCAGAGAACUACAAAGGAUCACUCCCUAAUAAGAGAUCUUGAACCCACACCCAUCUCAGUUUCAUCAUGAAGUUAAUUUUGAAACAUUUGAUCAGACACCCAAACCACACAUCAAGUAAAUUUCCAUGGUGGCC
RNAcentral lists this long non-coding RNA (248 nucleotides) under Chrysolophus pictus (golden pheasant). RNAcentral describes it as "lncRNA (ENSCPIG00010013104.1)". Lineage: Eukaryota; Metazoa; Chordata; Aves; Galliformes; Phasianidae. The record is from RNAcentral.